UGGGGAAUUUUGGACAAUGGGCGCAAGCCUGAUCCAGCAAUGCCGCGUGCAGGAUGAAGGCCUUCGGGUUGUAAACUGCUUUUGUCAGGGAAGAAACGAGUUUCUCUAAUACAGAGACUUAAUGACGGUACCUGAAGAAUAAGCACCGGCUAACUACGUGCCAGCAGCCGCGGUAAUACGUAGGGUGCGAGCGUUAAUCGGAAUUACUGGGCGUAAAGCGUGCGCAGGCGGUUAUGCAAGACAGAUGUGAAAUCCCCGGGCUCAACCUGGGAACUGCAUUUGUGACUGCAUAGCUGGAGUGCGGCAGAGGGGGAUGGAAUUCCGCGUGUAGCAGUGAAAUGCGUAGAUAUGCGGAGGAACACCGAUGGCGAAGGCAAUCCCCUGGACCUGUACUGACGCUCAUGCACGAAAGCGUGGGGAGCAAACA
This 427-nucleotide ribosomal RNA is filed under the name uncultured bacterium. Its description in RNAcentral is "bacterial SSU rRNA". It matches the Rfam family "Bacterial small subunit ribosomal RNA", at positions 355 to 774 of the family's 1533-position model. The record is from RNAcentral.